Molecule: unclassified non-coding RNA, 8861 nt
Filed under: Dermacentor andersoni
Lineage: Eukaryota; Metazoa; Arthropoda; Arachnida; Ixodida; Ixodidae
Description: wASP homolog-associated protein with actin, membranes and microtubules-like
Source: RNAcentral
CUUCCAGGUGAUUGAAGUAACAUCGAAAGCUUUUGCUUGGCUGUGUGUGUGUGUGUGUGUGGGUCAAGUGUGUUGCCUUUUGAUUGAAUUCUCAAUCGGAUAAUAAAAGGUAUCGCACACAUGCCCUAGGGAAGCGGACGCUGUAUAAACGAUUGUGUUUCUGCGGAAAAAGUGCUAUGCUGCGCAAAAAGUUUCCACUAGCAAGCGCCUGCAGCUCGUGAAGCAGAAGACUCGUGUCAAUGACUAUGGGCGAACGCCAAGACAGCCUUGAUGGAUGGGUGGCCAUCCGAGAGAACCUCUUUGAUCCUGUGGAUGUUCCCAAGCACAGCUUGUCGCGCUUCAUUGUCGCCUUCAACCGUGUGGAGUGUCAGUUUGCAGUCAGCUACUCAGAAGGCGAGCGUCAUGCUUGUGACAGGGACAACGGUGCCGCACGUGCUGUGCUACUUUCCUCGGAUGCCCUGCGUGACAUUCACAGGCAGCUCUUGCUCAUGUGCCCUGCACUUGAGAAUGCUUUCCCACUGAGUGGACCACAAACAAAAGGGUCUCGAAGCUUUUUAGGGUUCUUCUCAAAGAAGAACGGGGUGCUUGAAACACUGGAUCCAUCUGUUGAAGACAAAGUGUGCAGGGAGCUGGAGUACUAUUUUAAGCAGGCGCUUGAUGCAACAGGGAAGAGGUUGCUCUUUGCUGUGGUGUUUGGUGAAGAAGACUACUUGACUGAUUAUGAGGAAGAUGUUCAGGAGUUGAGACUACGUGGUCUGGAGCGUACUCUGAAGCGUGCCUAUGAUGACUUGAAUGAGAUACUGUCACUCCGGUCACGCUCCGAGACUAUGUUGGAGCUGUCAACGGUGUACGCUCUGGAGGACCAGGUAGUGGCCAACAUUUCUAUUGCUUUGGCUGAGCUCUAUAAUUUCCAGCUGGGGCCCUUCUUGGAACUGCGUGAGCUGGCAGCUGAACGCAGUCGUGCAUCGCGCCUUAGGGCUGAUGAUGGCCGGCUCGGGCCUCGUGUCAGAGCUGAGGCAAUGAAGGAGCUCGAAGAGUGGGAAACUCGAGUGCAGUCUGCCAAUGAAGCCACUCAACACCUUUACCAGGAGUACUAUCGACACACCGUGGAGCUAGUUUCAGGUCAGAGAAACAGGAUGCUUGAGGACCAGACAAAGUUUGGUCGGUCGACAUUUGAGCUGCACGGUAUGCAGCGCCUUCAGAAGCUGGAAGUGUUUGUGUGCCAGGAGCGGCUCAAGCUGCUGGGUGCCAUCAAGAGCACCCGAGAGCUACAGCAUGGCAAGAUCACCCAAAUGCUGGAGCAGCAGGCUCUACGAGGUCAGUGCACAUUGUUGGAGAUGGAGGAAGAAGUGUACAGCUCUCAGUUGGGCAUAUAUGACGUGAGCUUAGAGAUGCUCAAGGAGGAGGAGGACAUGUUGCGAAGGCAGAAGGACAUCCUCGACCGUGCUUGGCAAGAGGAGCUGGAUGAGGGCAUCUUUUAUGAUGCGGUGGAGGAGCGAGACCAGUUUGAAGACGAGCUCGAGAUAGAAGGCAGCGGCCCCAUGUCAAGGCGAGACCGACUCAAGCUUCGACUCAACAGACUCUACAGGAAGCGAGCCAUCCUCAGAAACAAGCGGAAAGCCUGCAUCGCUGAACACCAAAAGAAGGUGAAGAGAAAGGAAGAAAAGAAGAAUCGUAUUAAACAGCAUCACGCUGUCCAAAUGAAACGAGAAGAAAUACACAAGGAAUUGGACAUGAAUCGUGAACGCAUUGACAGUGAGCGGAAAAAGACGCUGGAAAGGCUCAGGGAAUACAAAAAGAAAUAUCAUAAUGGUAAAAGGAGUGGCGAUGGCACGAUGCUGGAGCCCGUUGAGGAUGAACUAUCAAGGACACCAUCUCCGAGAAGCCCAAAGCCCAGUUUAAGGCUUCAGAAUGGCACUGCAGCAGUCAGAGCAAAAGCAGUAGGAAUCUCUCCAGAGAGUUCCAAGGAGAAAGAGGACAUGUCAUUGCCUGCCCCGCCUCCAGCACCUCCGCCUCCUGCUGUACUACACCAGCUGCCACCACCACCUCCUCCUCCACCACCUCCGCCACCUCCGCCACCACCAUUGAUGCCAACCUUGAUGCCAGCUGUCCCAAACAUCAUCCCACUGACAGCACUCAAAAAGCCUGGACUGAAGCAAGAUCCAUCAAAGCCCAACCAAGGUGAACCCAACAAAACCAUCAACCUAUCAGAAAUUCUUGCUGCUCGCACCAAGCUCAGGAAAGCAGAUGUUUCAACUGAUGACAACAAAAAUAAAAACUCAGCCACUGGCAUUCAAUCCAAGGACUUCAAUGCGGUUCUUAAAGCAGCCCUUACAAAAAUUAACAUUGCCUCACAUGGACCUGAUAUUUCUGACCAUGAGAGUGAAAAUAGUGACUUUGAAUAAUUGCUCCCUGUAAAAACUAACAAUGCUGAUGCUUGCACUCUUUAUUUCCGUCCGUGACCAGCGUUGCUUGUGAUGCUAUGCAGAAAAUUUGUUAUUUAUUUAUUGAUACUGUAAUCCCAAUAUCGGGAUUAUCGCAGGGUGGGGAAAAGAACUAAGCAGCUUCACAAAACUGGCAUAAUGUACACAAAAAGAAAUAAGGGUGCAGGUUGAAGCUCUACAGCCAGCAUUAGGAACACAACAUUUGAACAAGAUGUCAAACAGUAGAAGUAAAAUAUGCAAUAAAACAAUAAACUGACAAAAUACAGUAACACACACUAGGUAAUAUGUUGUGCGAACAACAUCAGUGACGGUUGCAACACUUCAUUGUCGGUGAAGUUAUUCCAAUCAGUUAUAGUUUGUGGAACGAAUGAGCACUUAAAGCAGUAAUUACGGACGCAAAAAGGUGUUAAAGUUAGCUGAUGUAGUGGUCGAGUCGAAAUGAACGAGUUGAGACGAAAAAUGAAGUAAAUGGGUGAGUUCAGUUCUGUAGUGUAUUUUAAUUAAUUGGUACAUGAAUUUAAGUUGUGCAGAACGAUUUCGCUUGGUUAGUGUCGGCAGGCCAGCUUUGAUUAAAAGAUGUGUUACCGAUGUAUGUUGGUAAUUGUUAUACAUAUAUGUAUCUAGCAGCCCGCCUUUGAACCCUCUCUACUUUGUUUAUGUUAGUUUUAGUGAAUGGGUCCGAAAUGAUAGCUGCAUAAUCUAACGUAGGCAAGACAAUACAUUUGUAAGCAAGAAGGUGGACAGAUGGAGUGGACAACCACAAUGCCCGUCUUAUGAAAAACAAUUUAUGAAAAGUGUUACACGUUAUGAAAUCAAUAUGUCUAUUCCAGCUAAGAUUGUUAGUGAGCCAGAGGCCUAGAUAUUAUAUGCUAUUACUUCUGUAAGUGUCACACCAUUAAUACUGUAAUAAAACAGUAAGACAUUUUUUUUGCGAGUGAUCCCCAUUAGUACAGUUUUUUCAAAGUUAAUGGACAUUUGCCAUGAUUCACACCAUGCAGGAACUUUUUGUAACAUGCUAUUCAGUAGUAGUUGAUCUGAGGCACUUCUUACUUCUGUAUAAAUGACACAAUCAUCAGCGUAAAUCCUAAUUUUCACAGGAAUGCUAGAGACAAUAUCAUUAAUAUAUACUAAAUACAACAGAGGCCCAAGGACAGAGCCCUGAGGGACGCCAGAGUGAACUGCAAACCUGCCAGAACAAUAAUUGUUACAAACAACAAAUUGUUCUCUGUUUAAAAGGUAGGCUGAAAUACACUUUACUAAUUGUUUGUUAUGAAGUAUUGUCUAAUUUAUAAGUUAACUGCUUUGUUAACUCUCUUGUUUUCAUACUCGUAAUACCUUCGGUGCUACAAUUCUCAUGCAACACACACAAAAUGCAGGGUGAAGUAGUCAAACCUUUGCUGUCCUCCUUGCAUUAUAUUAGCCACAGCGUCCUGCUCCAUCAGUGGCUCCAGUGGUGUGCUGCAAAGCUGUACUUGUGACACUUCACAAAGGUUCUUUUGCCCCCAAAAUGCUGCAUGGAGUGUGCAAAGCUAACUGUAAAGAUCUCCUUUUUUCCCCUUUGGGAACAAAGUUUUAAUUUUAUACCUUCUUUAGUGUGACCACUAAAUGUGGGCAGACCUAGAACUCCUCAAGCUUAUAGUUAUUGAAAAACAUUGUGCUUUUAAUGGCAAAAAAAUAUUAAAUAAAUAAAUACCUACUGCAAGGUGCUUUUUAAGAAAAAAAAAGUAAGGUAUCCUGUUUACCUGUGUUGUGUGGCACUUCAAUGUGUUAUGCUACUAACGAAUAUAAACAGCCAGUGCAGUUCUCUCAUGUUGGCAGCUUUGCUAGGUGAGAGAGUGGUUGUCGGCCAGUCUCUUCCACCACUUCCGUUCUGGGAUUCAGGAAUGCAUCUGAUCAGUGUUUGAUGUUUCUGAUCGAUGCUGGCACUGCAAAUACUGUAAUUCAUAUGCAUGAAUAUCGCUGGUCCUUUCUCUCUUUUUUUUUCAUUUCUGUAUUUAGAGGUGUGGCUAGAUUAACCACUGGCCAAUUGUGCUUCACAGAAAGCUAAUUUCUACUUGUCUUGAAGAAUGGUAAGGUAUGGGAGAGUGAAAAUAGGGAGUGUUCGUGUGAUGUCAUGGACACCAUGUUGUUGUCUUUACAGCUUACUCAGAGCUGCUGGAAAUAAACAGAUAAGGAUAAUGCACAGCUUUUCAUCGUGCUAUCUGUACAACAAAAUAGCAGCUGCAAUGAUUUCAAUGCACGUGCUGUCCUUUACAAAUGUGCAUGAAGCACAGGUCUGUGAAGAAGAGAGUGUGCAACAAAUAAAGAAAAUGAGUGGCAGCCUAAUCAGCCUGUGCGGUUGCACCCACAGGCAUGUGCAUGUGCAUGCACAUGUGGACACCCAGGCCAGUGUAUUGUGGUCCUGUUAAACAUUUAACAUAAUGCGAUGGGCAAUCCAUUAGCAAAGCCUGUACCUGUGUCUGGGACCCUGAGCAUUCGUGGAUGUUUGUGCACGGGUAUGGCAUGACUGUAGCAUAUCGCAUAUAUGACACUGUUGUCAGAUGUUGAAAGCUCUGCCCCAGUGGUGCUGUAUUUGCACAAGUAUGGUGGAAUGGCACCAUUGCAUGUUUGUAAUUGUUUCAGGCACAAGGUGCUCAUUUUCACUAGAAAGCUUGAGUUUGUGGCAUAACCUGAUUUUCCAGUCAGCAGUGCUCUCUGAACAAUGUUGACUGGUUUUGUGUGACGAGGGUUCCUCCUUUGCUCAAAGAGAAAUGCUAAGAGAUCAUUAAUCCGUUUCAUGUAUAGCUUGAUUGGUUGAUUUAGAAUCAAAGUAUUUAUGUGAAAGUGGAGGGAACCAUGCUUAAUUUUUUGUGUAACUGUUUUUCAGACAUUUGUUUUAACAAAAUGAAUUAUAUGUAGGUACCUUUGUGUAUUGCAUCAUACUCAACCAGUGUCAAGCUACUUGCAUGUUAUGCAAGAAAUAAUUACUGUGCAGAGUCCCAAGGUCUCGCUGCCUUUGCUUGGCUGGAGUAUCGAGGCAUUUCGGGAAGAGUAAUCGACUGCCACCAAAAGUUUGGGGCAAGUUUCAUGUUGCCUUUUGACAUGUAUGAAUUUGAAGCCUUUGUACUGCCUCUACUUGCAGCUGACUCAAUCUCAAUACUCGUCACGUUCUAUUUCAUAAGUGUUCUAAUAUGUGGGGAGCCUCAGCUGAGGUAUCUGAAUAUCCCUCAAUAUAGGCAAGGUAGGUGUUCAAGUGGUUUCCCCUGUUGCCGAAUGACUCAAGCAACUAAAAUAUCAUAAUUUGAUGUCUCACUAUCAAAAAUAUCUCAAUUAGCCUUCUUCUAACUGGGUAAGAUGGGUGCUGCAUCUUAAUGUGAAACAUUUAGUGCUCUCUGAGUGCACUCUAUACCCUUUUUGAACUUUGGAAAAUAAUAGUGCUACUAGCUGCUUUUAACAUUAAGCCCGGAAUGUUUGAUUCACACACUUGCACAAAAGUGCAACUGCUAUGCUGCCCUCCCCCCUCAAAAUAAAUAAAUAAAAAAUAAAGAUGAACCCGCCUGUCAGCAAUAGGAAAGGCUUAUGAUUAUCAUGACAUGGGAGGCAGUUAGCUUAUGGUGACACUGCCACUUGCUGCCUUUGAGGGAGAGCAUUAGUUGGCCACACUCGAAACCAGCGAGCCAUGGUGACAGCAGGAUUUCGCAUCGAUUUCGCAUCAGUUUUCUCUUUCACCUUGGCAUGACAAAUACGGGGGAAUUCUUUGUGUCAAAAGCCGCUAUGCCCUUCUGUGACAUUGACGUGGAAGUAAUGGAGGCAGAUUUCUUGCACAUGUGUUAGUGCACCAAGUAGUCCAUCUGGGCUUCACAGCACUUUUGGUUCCUUGGAACAGAUGCUGAAUCGAUGCAGCUUCCACAUGCGACAGUUCCGCCUUUGCCAAGCUUCGACACACAGUGGUGUGUUGUCUUAUUUAGCUGCCAGAUAAGGUGUUUAUGCUUUCUCUUCCGCAGCUUAAGCUAACACGGAUGAAAAUGUUGUACUUUCUUCAGAGGCGCUCUCGCUCCUAAGCACUUUGCCUCCUUAGCUUUCCCUUUAUUUCCACAGAAAGUUCUCUGCGCAUGUAGUAGCAUACGUGCUUUGUAAAUCUAGAAAUGGUAUUGCAGUGUGCUCAGGUAGAGCUACAUAUAUCUGACAAUGAAAUGCUAGCACGUAUCUUCCUCAGCUAAAAGGUUAAUUUGCAAAUUUUUGCUAAAUACUGUAAAAUGCAAUAUGUAGUACACUGAAGACAGAGGUUCGCAGGACGAUGCAGAUUUGAAGUAAUCAACAUUGGUUGAACAAUUAAUGACUCAAGCUGGAGCAAGCGUUUCGACCAGGGGACCUGUCUUCAUUAGUGUCUGUUGGUUACCUCGGUGUGUAUUACAAGGUUUUCUUCAACAUGCUGGCAUGUAAAAUCUGCUUUGUGAAUUACUAUAUUUUGGCACCAUAGUUUUUUGGAUUUGUCUUAAAUGUUUCAAUAUUAAAACCACAUGGUUUUCUUUUAACUCACAUGCUGAGCUUCUUCCCAUUUUGUAACCCCAGAAUAGCUCCCCAUCCCUCUCACUUGUGUUAUGUUCGGGUUUAAGUUAUACCCCUGGUUUUAUGGUACUUAUAUAAAUGUGGAUGUUGCUAAUUUUUAAAUUCUUGGCAGUGUGCUCUGAGGCAUAUCGGAAUGUAUUACUGAAAUAGUAUCUCACCUGCUCUAUCUUCGGGUAUUUCAGAUACCUCAGCUGACAUAUGAAUUGCACUGUGAGGCAUCCUUUGCAUUGAUUUGGUAGCUUUUGGUAGCGAUGUUCACUGCCCAGUGUCCAUUUGUUUUCAACUGUUUGAGGAAUUCAUUCUCAUGUAUAUCUGCACUCAUUGCUCUCAUAACAAUCAGUUUGUGCGCAGUGGUGCUAUAGAACUCCACUUCACAAAGAGUUGCUGAGUAAAUGUACAGAGCAGCCGUUUCAACUCUGACAUUUAGGAACUUGUGGGGUCUACUCUUUCAUUGUUGAGUACUAACACACUAACACUCUGUGCUAAUUUAAAUGAUUGCACUGUUUUAGUGUGUACCUGCUGUGGUCAGCAGGUUAUUAUUAAUUUGCCAUUGCUGAGCGGUGCAGACAACCCUAGUGGGCUUGGAAUUGUUGCCUAAAAAGAAUUGUACAUUGUUGGAAUACUGUGUACUCGUGCAAUAAGUUUGUCCUAUUGAGGGCAGCAGUGCAGGCCUCUUGUUCAAAGCUUGCUGAAAUUAACAAACUGACUUGGUCACAAUUCAGUUGAGAACGGAGGAUAAACACUUUCAAAAAGCUGUGCUACAGCUGGCACUAAACAUAACCCAUGGAUAGCAGCCAAUGUAUAACAUGCAUUUGUAAGUUAUGUUGUGCUAAGACUAGCAACUUGCACACUUGUCCUCUUGCUUUAUAUAUAUGUAUACCCAUAUACAAAAGCUAGUGAGCUAGUCUAUGAGUUGUGUGGCUGUGUAUCGACGGUAACUUGCAAAUUCGUUAAAAUGAUCUGUUGCAGAGCCUGUUGACAGGUGUAUGUUCCUUCUGCUCUCAGUCAUUGUUCAGCUGCAAGAUAGUGGUGUGUGCAAGCUAUUGUCUUCUGUUUUUGUAGGUUGGUGCUAAUAUUUACCUUUUGUUCGAAUAUGAUGUUUGUAUGUUUGUGUGUUGCACACUUUUGUAUAGCCAGUUAUUGUUUUCAAAAAUUCUUAAUAUCUAUGAGCUUACACGUCCCUAGAACUUUAUUUCCUUCAUUACUCUACUUGUGUGCAUUGAAAACUGUUGUGCCCCUUUGCAGUGAUGUUUAUGAUAGGCAGUGCUUGUGGUGUUCACAACGAAACUUCAGUUGUGUGUAUUCUCAACAUUUUUGUAUGCCUGAACGUAUGUACUCUUGUUUUCAGUUUCCAUUGAAGUUUCUGGGAAUUAUGCUUGAUUGACGAUAAGAAUAAUAUUCAUAAUGCAUCAACCAGUACAUGAAAACUUGGUAGCUGCUCGUUACGGCUGCAGUGAAUGAUGAACGUUCAUGACAUCUUAAUGAGCAGGAGCAACAGCAGAUAUAGGGCACCUAUUUGCAUUGACAAACGAGAGGAAUAUCAGUUUGUGAACUUUAGAGGCAUAACCUUAGGUGACCACGCUCUUUUUUGUUUGUUUGGUAACAGCUGUAAGGCUGUCCUUAUUGGCGUGCCCAUGUGUACCUAUGUGAGUGUUCGAUUGCAUGUGCUGGCAUUCUUGUCAAGCUGGUGCUUUUAAGUACCAAAUUACAAGGCUAUGAAGGCUGUGAUCCGAAACUGUGGCUGUGCUGACACUGUGCUCUGUUCUCACACUGGCUGCAGUGCACUUUAUACCCUUUUAAAGAAUAUAUAUGUUCGAAGAAACAUAUAUUUUUUUUUUGUGGAUAAUAAAGCAUGUUUCAUUUAUUGCC